This is a long non-coding RNA of Suricata suricatta (meerkat), 3515 nucleotides long. RefSeq lists it as uncharacterized. The record is from RefSeq and is a predicted model, not a curated record. Lineage: Eukaryota; Metazoa; Chordata; Mammalia; Carnivora; Herpestidae. The transcript has 3 exons.
CGCUCAACCAACUGAGACCCCCGGGCGCCCCUGAAGAGAAAUGUGUUACAGAAGCAAUUGGAAACCGAUACAUCCGUCUUUGGGACCGUGUAUGAAUUUCUAUAGGCUAGAAAUUCUAGAAAUGAAUUUGCACAAUUGAAGGGACAACGUGGAAGAGAAGAGUGGACCCAGAGCCUCAUUCCUAGUCCUUGGCCACAUGCACUUGACCUGUCAGCACCAAGGCCAGGCACCCCGCAGACACGAGUCACCCUUCUACUCCUAGUUGCCUAAGAAUUCACAUCAUGAAUGCAUGUUGGAUUUCGUCAGAUGAUUCUUCUGCAUCUGUUGAGAUGCUCAUGUAUCGAUAUCAGUGUCUAUAACUUGGUGUAUUAAUUAGCAAAUUCAUUAAUUGAUAUAGCAAAUUGCACUGAUUGAUCCGUCAACGGAUGGAUAACCAACCCUGCGUUCCCGGGCUAGACCUUGCGAGACGUCGUGCGUUUGUGUCUGCUGAUACUUGGUUGAGGAUCGUUGUGGCCGUGCUGUCAGGGCGGCUGGCCUGCCGUUUCUUUCCCUCCAAUGUCUUUGUCUGGUGUUGUCUGGAAUCAGUGGUCCUGGCUUCGCAGAAGGAGGAAGUCCAGAACUUUCUGCAUGAGCUGGUGUGGGAGUUGCUAGGGAUUCUGUUGGAAAUCCUCGGUAGAAUUCGGCAGUGAAGACAUCUGGUGCCCCUCGGCCCCCCCUUGAGGCCCUCCCCCGUGUCCCGUGUGCCCGGAGGUCGGGGCCAGGUCCCUCCCAGGGACUGGCUGGGGCACGUGCCCCUUCUCUCUGGGGUCACUGUUUCCUGCUGCUCAUCAGACAUUGAGACCGUCCCUUCCUCUGUUGUCCUGCCUCUUCCAGCCACCUGAGGCCCGAGGGUGAAUCUGUCCCCGUCACACAUUAUGGCUGGGAGGCUGGAAUGCAUUGUUUCAAAGACAGUUUCUCUCUGAAGGAACCUGGGAGGGAACGGAGGUAGAUUCAUCAGCUUUGGUCCAUCAUCUCAAAACUUCUGAACUUUUGUCUAAAACGUAGAGCAGGUCCAAGAUGAUGUCCACAAGGGCCUCGCUCUCAGUGCGGUGUCCCCCAGACGCGCCCCGGACCUUGCCACCGAUGGGGGUGGGCCCGGGUCUGCGGGUCUGUGACCUGGUCCUGCCCCCACACCUGUGGACACCCCGGUGCGAGAAUCAGUGAGGUCAAAGUGGGCUGCCGGUCCCUUCCGGCAACUUCUCUCCCGCGCACUCCACCCCCCAGCCGUCGUCCUGGGCCCGGCGGACCCCUGCGGGCAGAACGCAGCCCAGGAGCCCAGGGGCUUGAGUGGCUUGCUGCCUGCAGGUCCUCCGGGGAGGGGACUUGGGGCCGGGAACGAACCAGGCGCCUUCCCGCAGGCAGCGAGGGGACCUUUGCAAGCAACUCCCACCUCUUGCUCCUAGAUUAACGGAGGGACCUGGGAAUAAGGACUAGACAGAAAGCAGGGCGAGUUAAGAACCUGACACUCACAUCUCUAGGCUCAGCCAGUCAGAGGCAUGGGAGGGAGCCAGACCCGAGUCUGUGGCCCCUCCUCGGGGCUGAGGGGCCCCCUGCCCUGUCUGACCGUGUUUGUCCUCCCCAGUGGGAGCUCGAGAAUUCCACCUCGCAGGGAUUUUGGGCACUGCGGGCACCAGAGACUUGACCUUCCGAUGUGCUGCUCACACAGCAGCUCUGGAGCCCGAAGGGUGGCCCAGUCCCGGGGGCUCUGGUGGGGCAGCCUGUCAUACCUACAGGGCCCUCCAUGGGUCAUUCACUGCCCUUCUCCACUGUGACAACGAUCCCUCCUGUGACAACGUGGCUGCCACCACAUCCGUGACUGCAGGGCUGACCUCCCUGGAGACCGUUGCUCCGUGGGCCUGGUGGACGUAAAGGCAGUUGGGGCUUCGCCCUCAGGUCCAGAGAGAGACUGGCCUAGCCUCACGGGGCAGGCGGGCACCUGCGGCAGGCAGGGAGGGUGCUUGCCCAUGGCCACAGAGCAGGCUGGUGGCAGGGUCCACGCCAGGGGACCGUUUCAUGCCACCAAACAUCUGAGCAGGACGUGCUGUGGGCUGGACUUCACUCUCUAGCCACGUGAUCUGGCGGCCCCAUGAGGACCCACCUGCGGGGGGAGAACCUGGUCUGCCUUCCUGGAGGUGACGGCAAGUCCAGAAGCUCCCGCAGUCAGAGCCUGGGGUGCGCCAUGUCCGCCCCCCACAACGCGACCUCCCAUCGGAGCUCCCGGGAGCCCUUCUGUGUCAUGCCCACCUUUGCACCAGUCUUGCCCACGCCCUGGUCCGCGGAUGCUCCUGCCGGCCCCAGGGAAGGGGGCGGGCCGUGACUAGCCCAGGAGAGCGGAUGCACUUUCCUCCCAGGAGAGAACCAGUCCUUUGCUGUGUGUGGUCCGCCUGCCUGCUUCCUGCUUCCUGCUUCCUGCCUGCGCUCAGGCAGGAGGGAGAGAGCCUUUGAUGUGUGUGCUUGCUGCUCUGUCUUCCUAUCAGGGAGGGUUCUAGAAGGUCAGACAACACGGGCAUGCAGCUAACUGCUCGGCUCCGUGCCUUUUUUGGGGCGUUGGCAGCCAGCCUCCCUCACCAGCGGGGCUGAUGUCCUCCUGGUCGCUGUGCGCAUGACUUGGGUGAUUCAGGGCUGGGCCCCCAGCACCAGGAGACCACUGUGGACCCCCCUGCCUGGUCUCACCACUGCUCCUGCUCUGCCUUCCUUACCAAACCACCAUCCUCUGCCACAGGGCCUUUGCACGGGCUGCUCUGAUGUGCCGCUCUCCCCUCAUCCCUGUGGUUUACCCUCUGUACGCUCCCCACAGAGGAGCCUUCCUGACCCCAUCGCCUACAGCACCCCCUCCCCCCUGCCUUGUCCUUAUGUGUGUAUAGCAGACAAGAAGCACUCUUCCAGCUUCUUCUGGGCUUACUGCAUGGCCGCUGCUUUCUGCUGGCUUCUGUCUCUGCAGCAGGCCAAGUGCAGGGACACGGAGCCCAGUCAGAGGCGAUUUGUGCCCCCUGCGGAGAGCCUGGCAGGAGCCGGCGGCCACUCCAGCCACCAUCCUGUGAAUGCACAAAGACUCGUGAGACCAGGACUCUGAAAGCAAAGGGACCCGGGACCCAAGGCGCCUGUCAAGGUCGCGUCAGCGCCUAACACGGGAAGUGCAUUCGGUGCUCCAGACAAACCGGAAUGCUGGCUGGUCUCAAACGAAAGUCCACUGUGGGGCAGAACGGUGGCCGGUGGCGGGCGGUGGGCAGGCAGGGUCAGUCCUCCUGGCCACGGGGGAAGGUUCCAGCAGGGCUGGCGCCAGAUGUGCGGCUCCGUUUGGAAGAGUCACCUUAAGGUGGCGACUGAGCGGCCAUUUCUCUGGGGGCUGGAGGAGAACAUGUGCACAGACGACCGCCACCCCUCACCCGCAGACCUGGAAGGUCCCGCGCCAGUUUGAAAACAGCCAAUCAUGAAGCUCCAGCUCCCAUCACCCUGACAGCGGAGGCAACCUAUCC